AGAUCCAGGAAAUAUUGGCAAGGGAAAUCCAGCAGAAUUUAGUCAGACUAAAUGUGGAAGAUUAAAGACAAAGAGGAGGUAAAGAAGAAACAAGCCUGCUCACGUCUGUGACGGGAAGGAUCAUGAUGGGGUUUUCAACAGAUUGACAUCAUUAUACACGAGGAUCUCACUGAAUUUGUCUCCAUGAAGAAGGAAGCAGGGAGUCCAGUUUUGAAGAGAGGAAAGAUGGGUGGUAGAAGACCCAGAGCCACGUAGUCGUAUCCUGUGGGCUGACUUGCUCUUUCUUUUACCUUGCCUCUGUAUGGACUUGAUAAUGUCUUCUGUACGGGCAGAAGCCUUGGUAUGGUCCAAGUGUAAGUAUGGAAGCCACCAGUGGCUGAGAUGGACUUCCAAAGAUUCUGUUAGGAGUCUCGAUGCUCACUCUUUGAGGUAGCUGGAGUUCCUAGUUCUGCGGAAGCUGCCCUAUGCUCAACCAGGUUCGUGUCUGAGGUGGGGUAAGAAUAUUCUUUAGCAUGGAAGAGACCUCUGUAUCCUUUGGAGCCAAAAGAAGAGAAUGGUUCAUCCUCUGGAAAGUGACUUCUGCUUUAUUUGAUUACAUUUUCUGUUUGUAAUUUA
This is a long non-coding RNA of Ornithorhynchus anatinus (platypus), 615 nucleotides long. RefSeq lists it as uncharacterized. NCBI's taxonomy places the organism in Eukaryota, Metazoa, Chordata, Mammalia, Monotremata, Ornithorhynchidae. The transcript has 3 exons. The record is from RefSeq and is a predicted model, not a curated record.